RNAcentral lists this ribosomal RNA (301 nucleotides) under uncultured bacterium. RNAcentral's name for it is "partial 16S ribosomal RNA". It matches the Rfam family "Bacterial small subunit ribosomal RNA", at positions 509 to 809 of the family's 1533-position model. The record is from RNAcentral.
CAGUCGCCGCGGUAAUACGUAGGGUGCAAGCGUUAAUCGGAAUUACUGGGCGUAAAGCGUGCGCAGGCGGUUAUAUAAGUCAGAUGUGAAAUCCCCGGGCUCAACCUGGGAACUGCAUUUGAGACUGUAUGGCUAGAGUGUGUCAGAGGGGGGUAGAAUUCCACGUGUAGCAGUGAAAUGCGUAGAUAUGUGGAGGAAUACCGAUGGCGAAGGCAGCCCCCUGGGAUAACACUGACGCUCAUGCACGAAAGCGUGGGGAGCAAACAGGAUUAGAUACCCCGGUAGUCCCUGUCUCUUAUAA